Molecule: ribosomal RNA, 497 nt
Filed under: uncultured bacterium
Lineage: Bacteria
Description: partial 16S ribosomal RNA
Rfam family: Bacterial small subunit ribosomal RNA
Source: RNAcentral
GAUGAACGCUGGCGGCGUGCCUAAUACAUGCAAGUCGAGCGACCAGACGAGGAGCUUGCUCCUCUGACGUUAGCGGCGGACGGGUGAGUAACACGUGGAUAACCUACCUAUAAGACUGGGAUAACUUCGGGAAACCGGAGCUAAUACCGGAUAAUAUAUUGAACCGCAUGGUUCAAUAGUGAAAGACGGUUUUGCUGUCACAUAUAGAUGGAUCCGCGCCGCCUUAGCUAGUUGGUAAGGUAACGGCUUACCAAGGCAACGAUGCGUAGCCGACCUGAGAGGAUGAUCGGCCACACUGGAACUGAGACACGGUCCAGACUCCUACGGGAGGCAGCAGUAGGGAAUCUUCCGCAAAGGGCGAAAGCCUGACGGAGCAACGCCGCGUGAGUGAUGAAGGUCUUCGGAUCGUAAAACUCUGUUAUUAGGGAAGAACAAAUGUGUAAGUAACUAUGCACGUCUUGACGGUACCUAAUCAGAAAGCCACGGCUAACUACGUG